RNAcentral lists this ribosomal RNA (172 nucleotides) under uncultured bacterium. Its description in RNAcentral is "partial 16S ribosomal RNA". It matches the Rfam family "Bacterial small subunit ribosomal RNA", at positions 477 to 649 of the family's 1533-position model. The record is from RNAcentral.
ACUUAAUGACUCCGCCCCCCCUAAUUCCCUGCCACCCCCGCGGUAAUACGGGAGUGGCAAGCGUUAUCCGGAAUUAUUGGGCGUAAAGCGUCCGCAGGCGGCUUUGUAAGUCUGCUGUCAAAGCGUGCAGCUUAACUCCAUUUCAGCAGUGGACACUACAAGGCUUGAGUGU